Molecule: unclassified non-coding RNA, 21 nt
Filed under: Mus musculus (house mouse)
Lineage: Eukaryota; Metazoa; Chordata; Mammalia; Rodentia; Muridae
Description: oocyte_clustered_small_RNA4707
Source: RNAcentral
UUGUGCUCAUGGGAUCAUCCA